CUCACUUCUUCCAGGCUAUUACUGUGACCCCAGUGCCAGGCCUAUCCAGGACUUCAGCUUGUACCCAUGUCCUCAAGGAUAUUACUGCCCACUGGGCACAGCCAAGGCCACACAACACAGCUGCCCAGUAGGAACUUAUGGUUCUCAGAAGGGGCUGACAAACAUCACUGAGUGCCAGCCCUGCCCUGCUGGAAAGUUCUGUGCACAGCCCGGGCUCACAGCUCCUACAGGAGAUUGUGUUGCAGGACACUGGUGCAAAGUAGGAGCUGCCAGCAAAGACCCCACUGAUGGGACACAGGGCCUCCUCUGCCCAGCCGGACACUACUGUAUCAAGGGUAUCUCCCCACUUCCAGGGCCACUGUGGCCAUGGCACUAUGACACCCCUCUCCUGUUCCAACCCUCUGCUUCCUCCAUGUCUUCCCAGAGCAGGUCACAGCAGCCCUGCCUUGCAGCCAGGCCAAUCUUCCCCCCAUGUGCUCUCACAAGGCCCACACUGCUAUCCCUGAAAGCCUCCCAAAUGUGAACCUGGGACACCCUGCUGACCUGGAACAUCACUGACCUUCCUGUGUUCUUUCCCUCCUCUGCCUUUCAUGCCUUUCAUUUUUUACCCGAGAGGCCUGUCGAAGCCUGGUUUCUCUUUCCCUCCCAGGACCUUGCUGGCUGGACAGCAAGUACCACACAGCUUUUUAUUUACCUGCAACAGGGAUCUGUGUUCAGUCAGGGAAGGUGACCGAUUGCUCUAGAACUAAAAGGUCUACCCUCUGGAGGCUGGGGGAGGUUUUUCUACUCUGGUCUUUGAAGAGGGAGAGAGCCAGGGCACAGGAGUUGGGGGGCAGCCUGGCCACUUUCCUAAGCCUCCCUGAUCUUGUAGGAGCACAAGUCCCAACCCCCUGCCCAGCUGGCACCUGGUCUGUGGAAGGUACCAGAGCCCCAGAAGGAUGCCAACAGUGCUUUGAAGGACAACUCUGCCCUGGGAGGCACCUGCCAGCCUGGCCAGCACUUUGCCACUCAGGUAUACCCUGCACUUGGGGAACAGCCCCUGCUACUUCUACAGAGCAUCUCUCUGGGAUAUCCUGUCUCCCUGGACACUUCUGCCUUUGGGGAACUGCUGAUUCCACUCCAUGUCCUCUCGGCUCCUACAUCUCUAGCACUCACAC
RNAcentral lists this long non-coding RNA (1157 nucleotides) under Fukomys damarensis (Damara mole-rat). RNAcentral's name for it is "lncRNA (ENSFDAG00000032881.1)". Lineage: Eukaryota; Metazoa; Chordata; Mammalia; Rodentia; Bathyergidae. The record is from RNAcentral.